Long non-coding RNA from Lacerta agilis (Sand lizard), 185 nucleotides. RefSeq lists it as uncharacterized. The transcript has 3 exons. Lineage: Eukaryota; Metazoa; Chordata; Lepidosauria; Squamata; Lacertidae. The record is from RefSeq and is a predicted model, not a curated record.
CCCGACCGGCCAGCCAGAAUUGACAAGGUACUCAGAAGCUCUGUCUGCAACCAGGAGACCUGGUCCUUCGCUGCCCAGCAGGACAUGCUUUGGAGACAUUCUGUGUGGAGCCGGAAUUAUGCAUAAUGAAACCUUACUCACUGGAACAUGAAGGCUGGGCUAUUUUUCAGCUGGAACUCACCAGU